This 2908-nucleotide ribosomal RNA is filed under the name Escherichia coli. Its description in RNAcentral is "23S ribosomal RNA". It matches the Rfam family "Bacterial large subunit ribosomal RNA". Lineage: Bacteria; Pseudomonadati; Pseudomonadota; Gammaproteobacteria; Enterobacterales; Enterobacteriaceae. The record is from RNAcentral.
GGUUAAGCGACUAAGCGUACACGGUGGAUGCCCUGGCAGUCAGAGGCGAUGAAGGACGUGCUAAUCUGCGAUAAGCGUCGGUAAGGUGAUAUGAACCGUUAUAACCGGCGAUUUCCGAAUGGGGAAACCCAGUGUGAUUCGUCACACUAUCAUUAACUGAAUCCAUAGGUUAAUGAGGCGAACCGGGGGAACUGAAACAUCUAAGUACCCCGAGGAAAAGAAAUCAACCGAGAUUCCCCCAGUAGCGGCGAGCGAACGGGGAGCAGCCCAGAGCCUGAAUCAGUGUGUGUGUUAGUGGAAGCGUCUGGAAAGGCGCGCGAUACAGGGUGACAGCCCCGUACACAAAAAUGCACAUACUGUGAGCUCGAUGAGUAGGGCGGGACACGUGGUAUCCUGUCUGAAUAUGGGGGGACCAUCCUCCAAGGCUAAAUACUCCUGACUGACCGAUAGUGAACCAGUACCGUGAGGGAAAGGCGAAAAGAACCCCGGCGAGGGGAGUGAAAAAGAACCUGAAACCGUGUACGUACAAGCAGUGGGAGCACAGAGCAAUCUGUGUGACUGCGUACCUUUUGUAUAAUGGGUCAGCGACUUAUAUUCUGUAGCAAGGUUAACCGAAUAGGGGGAGCCGAAGGGAAACCGAGUCUUAACUGGGCGUUAAGUUGCAGGGUAUAGACCCGAAACCCGGUGAUCUCAGCCAUGGGCAGGUUGAAGGUUGGGUAACACUAACUGGAGGACCGAACCGACUAAUGUUGAAAAAUUAGCGGAUGACUUGUGGCUGGGGGUGAAAGGCCAAUCAAACCGGGAGAUAGCUGGUUCUCCCCGAAAGCUAUUUAGGUAGCGCCUCGUGAAUUCAUCUCCGGGGGUAGAGCACUGUUUCGGCAAGGGGGUCAUCCCGACUUACCAACCCGAUGCAAACUGCGAAUACCGGAGAAUGUUAUCACGGGAGACACACGGCGGGUGCUAACGUCCGUCGUGAAGAGGGAAACAACCCAGACCGCCAGCUAAGGUCCCAAAGUCAUGGUUAAGUGGGAAACGAUGUGGGAAGGCCCAGACAGCCAGGAUGUUGGCUUAGAAGCAGCCAUCAUUUAAAGAAAGCGUAAUAGCUCACUGGUCGAGUCGGCCUGCGCGGAAGAUGUAACGGGGCUAAACCAUGCACCGAAGCUGCGGCAGCGACGCUUAUGCGUUGUUGGGUAGGGGAGCGUUCUGUAAGCCUGUGAAGGUGUACUGUGAGGUAUGCUGGAGGUAUCAGAAGUGCGAAUGCUGACAUAAGUAACGAUAAAGCGGGUGAAAAGCCCGCUCGCCGGAAGACCAAGGGUUCCUGUCCAACGUUAAUCGGGGCAGGGUGAGUCGACCCCUAAGGCGAGGCCGAAAGGCGUAGUCGAUGGGAAACAGGUUAAUAUUCCUGUACUUGGUGUUACUGCGAAGGGGGGACGGAGAAGGCUAUGUUGGCCGGGCGACGGUUGUCCCGGUUUAAGCGUGUAGGCUGGUUUUCCAGGCAAAUCCGGAAAAUCAAGGCUGAGGCGUGAUGACGAGGCACUACGGUGCUGAAGCAACAAAUGCCCUGCUUCCAGGAAAAGCCUCUAAGCAUCAGGUAACAUCAAAUCGUACCCCAAACCGACACAGGUGGUCAGGUAGAGAAUACCAAGGCGCUUGAGAGAACUCGGGUGAAGGAACUAGGCAAAAUGGUGCCGUAACUUCGGGAGAAGGCACGCUGAUAUGUAGGUGAAGUCCCUCGCGGAUGGAGCUGAAAUCAGUCGAAGAUACCAGCUGGCUGCAACUGUUUAUUAAAAACACAGCACUGUGCAAACACGAAAGUGGACGUAUACGGUGUGACGCCUGCCCGGUGCCGGAAGGUUAAUUGAUGGGGUUAGCGCAAGCGAAGCUCUUGAUCGAAGCCCCGGUAAACGGCGGCCGUAACUAUAACGGUCCUAAGGUAGCGAAAUUCCUUGUCGGGUAAGUUCCGACCUGCACGAAUGGCGUAAUGAUGGCCAGGCUGUCUCCACCCGAGACUCAGUGAAAUUGAACUCGCUGUGAAGAUGCAGUGUACCCGCGGCAAGACGGAAAGACCCCGUGAACCUUUACUAUAGCUUGACACUGAACAUUGAGCCUUGAUGUGUAGGAUAGGUGGGAGGCUUUGAAGUGUGGACGCCAGUCUGCAUGGAGCCGACCUUGAAAUACCACCCUUUAAUGUUUGAUGUUCUAACGUGGACCCGUAAUCCGGGUUGCGGACAGUGUCUGGUGGGUAGUUUGACUGGGGCGGUCUCCUCCUAAAGAGUAACGGAGGAGCACGAAGGUUGGCUAAUCCUGGUCGGACAUCAGGAGGUUAGUGCAAUGGCAUAAGCCAGCUUGACUGCGAGCGUGACGGCGCGAGCAGGUGCGAAAGCAGGUCAUAGUGAUCCGGUGGUUCUGAAUGGAAGGGCCAUCGCUCAACGGAUAAAAGGUACUCCGGGGAUAACAGGCUGAUACCGCCCAAGAGUUCAUAUCGACGGCGGUGUUUGGCACCUCGAUGUCGGCUCAUCACAUCCUGGGGCUGAAGUAGGUCCCAAGGGUAUGGCUGUUCGCCAUUUAAAGUGGUACGCGAGCUGGGUUUAGAACGUCGUGAGACAGUUCGGUCCCUAUCUGCCGUGGGCGCUGGAGAAUUGAGGGGGGCUGCUCCUAGUACGAGAGGACCGGAGUGGACGCAUCACUGGUGUUCGGGUUGUCAUGCCAAUGGCACUGCCCGGUAGCUAAAUGCGGAAGAGAUAAGUGCUGAAAGCAUCUAAGCACGAAACUUGCCCCGAGAUGAGUUCUCCCUGACUCCUUGAGAGUCCUGAAGGAACGUUGAAGACGACGACGUUGAUAGGCCGGGUGUGUAAGCGCAGCGAUGCGUUGAGCUAACCGGUACUAAUGAACCGUGAGGCUUAACCUU